GAAGGGGGAGCUAUGCAGAUGGGGAGCUCAGCUCACGGAGCGUCUCCCUGGAGGCACUGAGACCUGGGUGACAGGAGAGUCCAGGGCGUGAGGAUCCAGGGGAAGGUCUAGCAGGCAGAAGUGUCAGAAGCCACAGGAUAGUGGACUCCUGGGGAUAAUGGCCAAAAGGCCAGGGAACCACGUGGCUGACUUCAGAGUUGGGGUUGGGGCUUGAAUUCAAGGGAAGGGACACUCCGAGGGGAUGCUCCUGCAGAGAAGUGUGACCCAGCAGGCGGGCGCUGAGAGAGAGGGACCAGCCAGGGACUGUCCCCCGCAUGCCAGGCAGUGGACUUCGGAGCACGCAGCUGGCCUGUAGCACUCGGCUCCCUGUUCUGGGCUACGACCCUCUCCUGGCUGCAUUAGGUCCUAAGCAAAACACAUCAAGUACCUGUCGCCCUGAAUUAGCUGUUGGAGGGGAGAGAAGUCCAGGCUGAGGUCUCGUUUGGGGAACUAGACCAAAUCCAGCUCCGGGGAAGCAGUUCUCUGGACUCGAGGUGGCAGGACAAUGAGGUGGGGUCCAGCCUGAUAGAGGAGGUCCAGGUGACAAGUGGAAUCUGUGCCCCGCUACACCGGGACCUUCAGAAACCCCCAUAGAAAGGGGCAGGAUUCCUAAGACACGCAGAGGGGCUCAGAGCCCCACGCUGGACAGCAAGGCUGGCGACCACGGUGGACAGCCAGGGAAGGAGGGGCGGAGCAGGAGGGAGGCGGCCGCAGAGCUGGAUCAUUAAACAAAAGACAAAGGCUUCCUUCAGGAGCUUCCUUUGCUAAGUUGUUUCAAAGCUGUGAUAAUCAAGUUCCUGACAACAUUUCCUGGCAGGGACUGCUGUCCCCUCUUCCACUUGGCUGCACUGUCUUCCUGCAGCACCAGGAAGGAAGGUCCUCGGGUGACCAAGCCCACUCAGGGGACUCACAGAGUCUCUCCGGUGCAGAGCCAAGGGUGGGAUUCAAGUGACGGGCGGGAGAGCUCAGCUCAGGGACAGCCCUGGAGACGCGGGUGGAGACAGAAAGGGCAGGUGACUCUCCAAAGCCCUGUGGUGGCCUGUCCAUUCCCUCGACAGUCACGAUUCCAGCUCCAGACUCCUGCUCUCCUGGAGGUUGUGUUCUGGGAGGUGAUGGCAGAUAGUAAAUAAUAAAACAUAACAGAGUCAUUCAUAGGCUGUGGUAGAAGAUGAAUGCUUUAGAAAGAUGAUACACAACAAGCAAAGAUCAGGAGUAUGGGGAAGAGGGCCAGUUGCAAUUUUAACAGACAAUUAGAAGAAGGUGACCUCUGAGUAUAAAUUGAAAGAGGUGAAGGAGGAGAAGAAUUUGGGCAAAGGGAACAGCGAGUGCAAAGGCCCCGAGGUGAGAGUGUGCCUCAGUGUUCCAGGAACAGCAAGGUGGCCAGAGUGUCUGAGGCCACCUAAGGAUGCUCAGAACAGAGCUGAGGAUGAGGAGAGUAGGCACCAGGGGCCACAUCCCUCAGGGUCUCGUAAACAUUGCCAGGACUUGUCAUCUGUCUGUCAGCAGGCUCUACACCGCAGGACCCGUACAUUCCAUCUCUGCCCUCACAGCCUGGAUAUCACCAGCACCCAGUAAAUGCCUGCCGGGUGAGUCACCGCAGGUGAAAUGCACACAGCUCCUGGCCGGGCAGGCGUGUCCAGGUGCACUGGCACUGCCCGCAGGCACCCCUUCCUCGGGCAGCAAGACCAAAGAGGGCCAGCACCUGCCACCUGCAAGAAGACCAAGGGCCAGGGAGCCCAGAGACAAAGGACCAGGAACAGGGAAGAGAGAAGGAAAGGGCUGGGAAAGGCAAGAGACCUGGCGCCCAGCACUAGCUGUUCCGUCUCUUGAAUGUUCUCCAGGGAUUUCUCACUGGCUGAGCCUCCGCGUGCAACACAGGGCUCCUGUCUCCCUCUCCCCAGGAAUCCUCCCUCACAGCAUGAUGCCCCGUCCCCUAUGGGCACAUCUGAGGCCCAUCUAGGUGUGCAAAGGAAUGAAAAUCCUUUGGCUCCUUUGGGAACCCAGCUGUCAAAGACAGCUGCUCUAAAUGGUGGGCCUUCUCCCUCCUGUCACCCACGUUGCUCUGUCUUCUAGUUCAUUAGAAAGCAGAGAAAGUCUCUCAUUGUCCCUUCCUCACUCAUUCCCUGACCCAUGCCAUUCUGCGUGCUGUGGUCCUUUGGGCUGUAAGCCACCAGUUACACCUGUCAAGGAUCUCGAGUUCAAAGCCAGCCUCAGCAAUGAUGAGGUGCUUAGCAGCUCAAUGAGAUCCUGCCUCUAAAUAAAAUACAAAAUAGGGCUGGGGAUGUGGCUCAGUGGUUGAGUGUCCCUGAGUUCAAUCCCUGGUACCAAAAACAAAAAGAAAAAGAAAAAGCACCAAUAGGAUGAAUUUCCUUACCUCAAUCUACCCCUCUAAACAGCCUCGGGACCCCUGCAUCUUAUAAGUAGUCCCAGAUGUUACUCCCAAGUAACUCCUACAAGUGCCCCUGCCACCAAGCGGUCUAACCAAGAAGGUUUAGCAUGGGGUCAUGGAAGCCCCCGGGAGCUAGGCACAACCACAAGCUCUCUGUGUGUGCAUCUCUGUGCUCCUGCUGAGGUGAGGGCACAUAGAUCCAAAAAAAUAUUUUCAGCCCUCUCCAAUCCCCUGCCCCUGAAAAGGUUUUAACCCUGUCAGGUCACUGCACAGGACCAUGCUGAGCCCUGUAUGGACAUCACAGCCCACGGUGGCCAGGCAGCCCAUCACUGUUUAAUUGGCAAUUGGAGAAAUCAUUGUGGAAAGAUCUAAAUUUUCAAGAAUAUCUGCUCUGGGAGUUGUGAAAAAUCUACAGGAGUUAAGAGCAGCAAAAAUAAA
This is a long non-coding RNA of Marmota monax (woodchuck), 2866 nucleotides long. RefSeq lists it as uncharacterized. The transcript has 3 exons. Lineage: Eukaryota; Metazoa; Chordata; Mammalia; Rodentia; Sciuridae. The record is from RefSeq and is a predicted model, not a curated record.